Pelobates cultripes (western spadefoot toad) is the source of this 747-nucleotide non-coding RNA. The record is from the annotation of a GenBank genome assembly. Lineage: Eukaryota; Metazoa; Chordata; Amphibia; Anura; Pelobatidae.
UUUUUUUUACAUACACAUUAAAUUUUUUGGGGUCAUUUUUCAAGUCUGGUAAAUGCCACUGUGAUCAAAACCCCAUAAUUAUACUACACAAACUCUUCAGAAUAAAACAAUACCCCCAAUGUAUGUCUUUGCCACUAUCCUGCUAAGCUACAGUGCCUUAAGAGUCCUGACCACAGUUUUUACAAUUAGAAUUUGAUAAAUGGAUUUGAUGUAUCUAUAUCACAUUUUAGGGCAUUGUAGCAGUUUGACAGUUAAAAUUACCCCAUAAAUGCAUACCAUUUGUGAAAGUAGACACCACGGGCUAUGUCAUAUGGUAUAUUUUGAGCUUUAUUAUAUAGUUAUGUUAGCACCAAUUUCUUUCAAAUUUUAUAUUGUUUUAUUUUUGCAUUUUUAUACACACAUGUUGGAUUUUAGUGGUUAAUUUUGGAAACUAGAUAUAUGCUACUGUAAAUUAAAUCACUAAAUUAUUCUCAGCUAUAUAUCCUGAGUACAAAAUGACCCCCUUUGUACACCUUAGCCAGGUUUUUGUGAUAAAAUACAGGGCUAAAAUCGUACACGGCCCAGUAUAGUUUUUUUUUUUUUUUAAUGGCAAAUUGAUGAUGGGUCUUUUUCAUUUUGGGGCAUUUUAGUCGCUCAUAUAUUUAAAUUAUGCCACCAAUGUAUACUAUUUACAAAAGUGGACACCAUGGGGACUCUCACAUAAAAUAUUAGACGCUUUAUUGAAGUGACAUUUUGUUUCAAAAUUUG